GCCUAGCCCUAAAUCUCGAUACUUACCAUACUGAAGUAUCCGCCUGAGAACUACGAGCACAAACGCUUAAAACUCUAAGGACUUGGCGGUGCCCCAAACCCACCUAGAGGAGCCUGUUCUAUAAUCGAUAACCCACGAUACACCCAACCACUCCUUGCUAGUGCAGCCUACAUACCGCCGUCGCCAGCUCACCUCCUCUGAGGGCCCAACAGUGAGCACAACAGCCCCGCUAACAAGACAGGUCAAGGUAUAGCCACGGAGUGGAAGAAAUGGGCUACAUUUUCUAAAAUAGAUAACCAAGGGGGGUGUGAAACCUCCCCCAGAAGGCGGAUUUAGCAGUAAAGGGGGAUAAUAAUGCCCUCUUUAAACUGGCCCCUGGAG
Molecule: ribosomal RNA, 381 nt
Filed under: Antigone antigone (Sarus crane)
Lineage: Eukaryota; Metazoa; Chordata; Aves; Gruiformes; Gruidae
Description: partial 12S small subunit ribosomal RNA
Rfam family: Bacterial small subunit ribosomal RNA
Source: RNAcentral